GCUCAGUAACACGUCGAUAAUCUGAAAAAAGGGUCUGGAAUAACCUUGGGAAACUGAGGAUAAAAUCGGAUUGGGAAAUUCAACUGGAAGGUGAAUUUCCUUAAACGCAAGGCCUAAGGAUGAGUCGGCGGCGGAUUAGGUUGUUGGCGAGGUAAUGGCUCACCAAGCCGAAGAUCCGUAGGGGCCUUGAAAGAGGUAGCCCCGAGAAGGGCACUGAGACACUGGCCCUAGCUCCACGGAGUGCAGCAGGCGCGAAAACUUUACAAUGCACGCAAGUGUGAUAAGGGAAUCCUAAGUGAUGAUGCAUUGCAUCAUCUUUUGCCAAGAGCAAAUAUCUUGGAGAAUAAGUGGUGGGCAAUACCUGUGCCAGCCGCCGCGGUAACCCAGGAGCCACAAGUGGCAACCACCUUUAUUGGGCCUAAAGCGUCCGUAGCCGGUUUUGUAAAUUUUCUGUGAAAUAGUUGCGCUUAACGUAACUGCGUGCAGGAAACACUGCAAGACUUGGAACCGGGAGGAGUCAGAAGUAUUUUGGGGGGAGCGGUAAAAUGCUAUAAUCCCUCGAGGACUACCUGUGGCGAAGGCGCCUAACUAGAACGGAUCCGACGGUGAGGGACGAAAGCUAGGGGAGCAAUCCGGAUUAGAUACCCGAGUAGUCCUAGCUGUAACACUGCGAGCUAGGUGUUGCGCAAUCUUCGGGAUUGCGUGGUGUCGUAGCGAAGACGAUAAGCUCGCCGCCUGGGGAGUACGGUCGCAAGGCUGAAACCUCAAAGGAA
This 773-nucleotide ribosomal RNA is filed under the name uncultured archaeon. RNAcentral describes it as "bacterial SSU rRNA". It matches the Rfam family "Archaeal small subunit ribosomal RNA", at positions 88 to 864 of the family's 1478-position model. The record is from RNAcentral.